AUUGAACGCUGGCGGCAGGCCUAACACAUGCAAGUCGAACGGUAGCACAGAGGAGCUUGCUCCUUGGGUGACGAGUGGCGGACGGGUGAGUAAUGUCUGGGAAACUGCCCGAUGGAGGGGGAUAACUACUGGAAACGGUAGCUAAUACCGCAUAACGUCGCAAGACCAAAGAGGGGGACCUUCGGGCCUCUUGCCAUCGGAUGUGCCCAGAUGGGAUUAGCUAGUAGGUGGGUAACGGCUCACCUAGGCGACGAUCCCUAGCUGGUCUGAGAGGAUGACCAGCCACACUGGAACUGAGACACGGUCCAGACUCCUACGGGAGCAGCAGUGGGGAAUAUUGCACAAUGGGCGCAAGCCUGAUGCAGCCAUGCCGCGUGUAUGAAGAAGGCCUUCGGGUUGUAAAGUAC
Molecule: ribosomal RNA, 407 nt
Filed under: uncultured Citrobacter sp.
Lineage: Bacteria; Pseudomonadati; Pseudomonadota; Gammaproteobacteria; Enterobacterales; Enterobacteriaceae
Description: bacterial SSU rRNA
Rfam family: Bacterial small subunit ribosomal RNA
Source: RNAcentral